CCCAUGAAGCUUGCUGACAUUGGGCAUCCUGAAAUGGAGAGAGUGAAAUGAAGAAUUUGAACUUCCCCUAGGCCGGAAACACACACAAGUGCUCAAAACUCCUCACUGAUUGGAUCUCAAAAUUUCUUCACACUAAGGCUGUCAAGAUUGGACUGGAAAAAAAAAAAAAAA
Molecule: long non-coding RNA, 171 nt
Organism: Canis lupus familiaris (dog)
Lineage: Eukaryota; Metazoa; Chordata; Mammalia; Carnivora; Canidae
Exons: 2
Source: RefSeq, a predicted model, not a curated record